UCGCCGCUUAUGUCAUUCCAGAAUCGGUGGAAAAAAGCAGGAUUAAGACCGUCAGGUCCAGGUGAUUUAUCUGGAUGCAUACUGAAAACAGCAUCCUUGAAUUCUUGCUCGGUGAAAGGUUGUGUGAGAAUGUUGUUAUCUUCUUCCGAAACUCGGGGCUGAACACAUGAAAUGAUUGCUUGCUGAUCGCCCUGCUUCUCUCUAAAGAUGGAAUUGAAAUAGUUUCGGACCAGAGUGCACAUAUCAUCGUGAGCUGUUACCCAAUUGCCAUGUUCGUCACGAAGCUUUUUUAUAGUGUUUUUACGCCGACGGGCUGAUGCUGAAGCGUGAAAGAACUUGCUGUU
Molecule: long non-coding RNA, 344 nt
Filed under: Medicago truncatula (barrel medic)
Lineage: Eukaryota; Viridiplantae; Streptophyta; Magnoliopsida; Fabales; Fabaceae
Description: long non-coding RNA (MTRU_LNC005962)
Source: RNAcentral